Molecule: non-coding RNA, 111 nt
Filed under: Mycobacterium sp.
Lineage: Bacteria; Bacillati; Actinomycetota; Actinomycetes; Mycobacteriales; Mycobacteriaceae
Description: TPP sequence
Rfam family: TPP riboswitch aptamer (THI element)
About the family: Vitamin B(1) in its active form thiamin pyrophosphate (TPP) is an essential coenzyme that is synthesised by coupling of pyrimidine and thiazole moieties in bacteria. The previously detected thiamin-regulatory element, thi box was extended, resulting in a new, highly conserved RNA secondary structure, the THI element, which is widely distributed in eubacteria and also occurs in some archaea.
Source: RNAcentral
UCCACAACACGCGGGAGCGCACGCCGAGUGCGCUGAGAGGACGGCUCGGGGCCGUCGACCGUACGAACCUGACCGGGUAAUGCCGGCGUAGGGAGCACAGAAUGACCGACA